GUGUCAGCCGCCGCGGUAAUACGUAGGGUGCGAGCGUUAAUCGGAAUUACUGGGCGUAAAGUGUGCGCAGGCGGCGCCGCAAGUCGAGUGUGAAAGCCCCGAGCUUAACUUGGGAAUUGCGCUCGAAACUAUGGUGCUGGAGUGUGGCAGAGGAAGGUGGAAUUCCACGUGUAGCGGUGAAAUGCGUAGAGAUGUGGAGGAACACCGAUGGCGAAGGCAGCCUUCUGGGCCAACACUGACGCUCAUGCACGAAAGCGUGGGGAGCAAACAGGAUUAGAAACCCCCGUAGUCC
Molecule: ribosomal RNA, 292 nt
Filed under: uncultured bacterium
Lineage: Bacteria
Description: partial 16S ribosomal RNA
Rfam family: Bacterial small subunit ribosomal RNA
Source: RNAcentral